AGUGUGGUUAAUGAUGUCAAACUUUUUUCCCCGGCUUAUCGACAAUGAGGAGUCAAAACCAUUUCAAAGCCAAUUGUCUGAAACCACAUU
This is a small nucleolar RNA of Takifugu rubripes (torafugu), 90 nucleotides long. Ensembl annotates it as small nucleolar SNORD12/SNORD106. Lineage: Eukaryota; Metazoa; Chordata; Actinopteri; Tetraodontiformes; Tetraodontidae. The record is from Ensembl.